Molecule: unclassified non-coding RNA, 520 nt
Filed under: uncultured Glomus
Lineage: Eukaryota; Fungi; Glomeromycota; Glomeromycetes; Glomerales; Glomeraceae
Description: SSU rRNA
Rfam family: Eukaryotic small subunit ribosomal RNA
Source: RNAcentral
AGCAGCCGCGGUAAUUCCAGCUCCAAUAGCGUAUAUUAAAGUUGUUGCAGUUAAAAGCUCGUAGUUGAAUUUCGGGGUUAGUAGGUUGGUCAUGCCUCUGGUAUGUACUGGUCUCACUGAUUCCUCCUUCCUGAUGAGCCGUAAUGCCAUUAAUUUGGUGUUGCGGGGAAUCUGGACUGUUACUUUGAAAAAAUUAGAGUGUUUAAAGCAAGCUAACGCUUGAAUACAUUAGCAUGGAAUAAUGAAAUAGGACGUUCGAUCCUAUUUUGUUGGUUUCUAGGAUUGGCGUAAUGAUUAAUAGGGAUAGUUGGGGGCAUUAGUAUUCAAUUGUCAGAGGUGAAAUUCUUGGAUUUAUUGAAGACUAACUACUGCGAAAGCAUUUGCCAAGGAUGUUUUCAUUAAUCAAGAACGAAAGUUAGGGGAUCGAAGACGAUCAGAUACCGUCGUAGUCUUAACCAUAAACUAUGCCGACUAGGGAUCGGAUGAUGUUAAUUUUUUAAUGACUCAUUCGGCGCCUUAC